RNAcentral lists this ribosomal RNA (253 nucleotides) under uncultured bacterium. RNAcentral's name for it is "partial 16S ribosomal RNA". It matches the Rfam family "Bacterial small subunit ribosomal RNA", at positions 524 to 776 of the family's 1533-position model. The record is from RNAcentral.
UACAGAGGUCCCGAGCGUUGUUCGGAUUCACUGGGCGUAAAGGGUGCGUAGGUGGUGAGGUAAGUCGGAUGUGAAAUCUCCGGGCUCAACCCGGAAAUGGCAUUGGAAACUACCUUGCUAGAGGAUUUGAGGGGGGAUUGGAAUACAUGGUGUAGCAGUGAAAUGCGUAGAUAUCAAGUGGAACACCAGUGGCGAAGGCGAAUCCCUGGAAAAUACCUGACACUGAGGCACGAAAGCUAGGGGAGCAAACAGG